RNAcentral lists this ribosomal RNA (265 nucleotides) under uncultured prokaryote. RNAcentral describes it as "partial 16S ribosomal RNA". It matches the Rfam family "Bacterial small subunit ribosomal RNA", at positions 524 to 788 of the family's 1533-position model. The record is from RNAcentral.
UACGUAGGUGGCAAGCGUUAUCCGGAAUUAUUGGGCGUAAAGAGCGCGCAGGUGGUUGAUUAAGUCUGAUGUGAAAGCCCACGGCUUAACCGUGGAGGGUCAUUGGAAACUGGUCGACUUGAGUGCAGAAGAGGGAAGUGGAAUUCCAUGUGUAGCGGUGAAAUGCGUAGAGAUAUGGAGGAACACCAGUGGCGAAGGCGGCUUCCUGGUCUGUAACUGACACUGAGGCGCGAAAGCGUGGGGAGCAAACAGGAUUAGAUACCCA